Molecule: ribosomal RNA, 250 nt
Filed under: uncultured prokaryote
Description: partial 16S ribosomal RNA
Rfam family: Bacterial small subunit ribosomal RNA
Source: RNAcentral
UACGUAGGUGGCAAGCGUUGUCCGGAAUUAUUGGGCGUAAAGGGCGCGUAGGCGGCCUGUUAAGUCUGAAGUGAAAGUCCUGCUUUUAAGGUGGGAAUUGCUUUGGAUACUGAUGGGCUUGAGUGCAGGAGAGGUAAGUGGAAUUCCCAGUGUAGCGGUGAAAUGCGUAGAGAUUGGGAGGAACACCAGUGGCGAAGGCGACUUACUGGACUGUAACUGACGCUGAGGCGCGAAAGUGUGGGGAGCAGAC